CAGUAGCCGCGGUAAUACGUAGGGUGCGAGCGUUAAUCGGAAUUACUGGGCGUAAAGCGUGCGCAGGCGGUUUUGUAAGACAGGCGUGAAAUCCCCGGGCUCAACCUGGGAAUGGCGCUUGUGACUGCAAAGCUAGAGUGCGGCAGAGGGGGAUGGAAUUCCGCGUGUAGCAGUGAAAUGCGUAGAUAUGCGGAGGAACACCGAUGGCGAAGGCAAUCCCCUGGGCCUGCACUGACGCUCAUGCACGAAAGCGUGGGGAGCAAACAGGAUUAGAUACCCCCGUAGUCCCUGUCUCUUAUAA
Molecule: ribosomal RNA, 301 nt
Filed under: uncultured bacterium
Lineage: Bacteria
Description: partial 16S ribosomal RNA
Rfam family: Bacterial small subunit ribosomal RNA
Source: RNAcentral